AGUGAACGCUGGCGGUAGGCCUAACACAUGCAAGUCGAACGGCAGCACAGUAAGAGCUUGCUCUUACGGGUGGCGAGUGGCGGACGGGUGAGGAAUACAUCGGAAUCUACUUUUUCGUGGGGGAUAACGUAGGGAAACUUACGCUAAUACCGCAUACGACCUACGGGUGAAAGCAUGGGAUCUUCGGACCUUGCGCGAUUGAAUGAGCCGAUGUCGGAUUAGCUAGUUGGCGGGGUAAAGGCCCACCAAGGCGACGAUCCGUAGCUGGUCUGAGAGGAUGAUCAGCCACACUGGAACUGAGACACGGUCCAGACUACUACGAGAGGCAGCAGUGGGGAAUAUUGGACAAUGGGCGCAAGCCUGAUCCAGCCAUACCGCGUGGGUGAAGAAGGCCUUCGGGUUUUAAAGCCCGUUUGUUGGGAAAGAAAAGCAGCAGGUUAAUACCCCGCUGUUCUGACGGUACCCAAAGAAUAAGCACCGGCUAACUUCGUG
This 492-nucleotide ribosomal RNA is filed under the name uncultured bacterium. RNAcentral describes it as "partial 16S ribosomal RNA". It matches the Rfam family "Bacterial small subunit ribosomal RNA", at positions 29 to 507 of the family's 1533-position model. The record is from RNAcentral.